Molecule: ribosomal RNA, 301 nt
Filed under: uncultured bacterium
Lineage: Bacteria
Description: partial 16S ribosomal RNA
Rfam family: Bacterial small subunit ribosomal RNA
Source: RNAcentral
CAGUCGCCGCGGUAAUGCGAAGGGUGCAAGCGUUAAUCGGAAUUACUGGGCGUAAAGCGUGCGUAGGCGGUGAGUUAAGUCUGCUGCGAAAUCCCCGGGCUCAACCUGGGAAUGGCAGUGGAUACUGGCUCGCUAGAGUGUGUCAGAGGAUGGUGGAAUUCCCGGCGUAGCGGUGAAAUGCGUAGAGAUCGGGAGGAACAUCAGUGGCGAAGGCGGCCAUCUGGGACAACACUGACGCUGAGGCACGAAAGCGUGGGGAGCAAACAGGAUUAGAUACCCGCGUAGUCCCUGUCUCUUAUAC